CAGAUAUUUGCUAUACAGCUGCUUUCUCACUUGUGUAUCCAGUAUGCAUUACCGAAGUCACUAAGUGUGGCUCGCUUAGCUGUCAAUGUCAUGGGGACUUUGCUAACAGUUCUAACACAAGCUAAGCGGCAUUCUUUUUUCAUGCCGACUCUUCCAAGUUUGGUCUCCUUUUGCCGAGCAUUUCCUCCACUGUAUGAGGAUGUUAUGUCUUUGCUCGUUCAAAUAGGACAAGUGUGUGCCUCUGAUGUUGCCACUCAGACAAGAGACAUUGAUCCGAUCAUUACCCGUCUUCAACAAAUAAAGGAGAAACCUAGCGGAUGGUCUCAAAUUUAUAAAGAUGCAUCUUACAAACAUGGAUCCAGGGACACUGGAAGCAUGGAUCCUGAUGUCCAGCUCUGUCAUUGUAUUGAAAGCACAGUAAUUGAAAUAAUAAACAUGAGUGUUAGUGGGAUUUAAAAAAAGACAGGUUUUAAAUGCAGCCAUUUGCUGCAUAUACUGAACAGGAUUCUGGACUUUAUGAGAACUCUAAACUGAAUGAGAACAGUGAGAUCUUGGAAUUGCUGAAGUGAUUCAGUUCAGCAGAGUAUAAUUUAGAACUCUCUGAGAAUUUACUUGUUUGUUUGAUUGGCAUAUCUUUGGAUCUGCUCUGAUGGUAUGUUUAUAUUGAAGCAGCUGAACUUCUUUUCCAUUGGGCACACUUUAAGAAACUUGUCCCUGGUUCAUGUUCUCAGCUGUUUGACGUGAAGACAGUGCCAGGCUUUUCAUUUAAUCUCUUAAAAACGAGCCUGUGGAUAGCCCUCAUAUUUGUGAGCUUUUAACAAUUUCAACAGAGAGGAGAGGAAGGAGAAAGAGGGAUGAAGGGCAGGAAUAAUUUAGAAAAAAAUACCACUUAAGUACGUAGAAAUCAUACAGACUUGUAAUGCAAGAAACAGUAUUACAGGUUGAAGUUCUAAUUUGUUAAAAAUAAUAGUAAGAUGGCUUAAAGGAAAAAAAAAAAGGCAGUUAAGCCAGGUGUAGCAGAGCAUGCCUUAAAUCCCAGCCUGAGGGAGAAAGGGAGCAAGUAGAUCUCUGUCCCAGGCCAGCCUGCUUUACAUAGUGAGUUCCAGGAAAGUCAGAGCUACAUAGUGAGACCCUGUCCAAAAACAAUAAGUAAAUAAACUAUUAAAUGACUGCCUUGGAAUUACAGAUGAAGAUAGAAGGAUUUCACAAAUCUGCUUCAACUUUUCCUAAUAUAUGAAGCCAUAUGUUUAAAGAGAUACUUGAAUAAUUUGAAAUUUUAAGAUACUGAUUAUAGUUACAGAAACAUCUUUGUUUUGUGCAAAGAAGAACCUGAAGUGAAUUUCAUUUAUUCUUUUUAAAAUUUAUUUUUAUAAUACUCUAUUAUCUAAUUCUCAGAGGAGCAGACAUGUAUCCAAUUAAAUGAACUUUAGAGCAACAACCUCAACUGUGCUCUCGGUUCGUCGCCAGGAUUGUAAUUCACAUUUUACUCUGAGGAGAAUUUGUAAGAAAAUACAGUGUUUGAACCUCAGGAAAACGAUAGUGUGGUAAAUGCUGUGUUGCUGACUUUUGCAGCCCUCUGUUAGGAGCUUCACGAUGAAGGAGAUGCAUUCAGAUAACCAUAAUC
This 1624-nucleotide long non-coding RNA is filed under the name Rattus norvegicus (Norway rat). RNAcentral's name for it is "long non-coding RNA NONRATT005816". Lineage: Eukaryota; Metazoa; Chordata; Mammalia; Rodentia; Muridae. The record is from RNAcentral.